UUCGCAAUGCCCGAAAGGGUGACGAAGCGACGCCGCGUGCGGGAAGAAGGCCUUCGGGUUGUAAACCGCUGUCGGGAGUUAAGAAAUGUAAGGAUGUUAAUAGCAUCUUUGCUUGACUAAGGCUCCGGAGGAAGCCACGGCUAACUCUGUGCCAGCAGCCGCGGUAAUACAGAGGCGGCAAGCGUUGUUCGGAAUUAUUGGGCGUAAAGAGCACGUAGGCGGCUAUGUAAGUCGGUUGUGAAAGCCUUCCGCUCAACGGGAGAACAGCAUCCGAUACUGCAUGGCUUGAGUGCGGGAGGGGAGAGUGGAACUUCUGGUGGAGCGGUGAAAUGCGUAGAUAUCAGAAGGAACGCCGGCGGCGAAAGCGGCUCUCUGGCCCAUAACUGACGCUGAGUGUGCGAAAGCUAGGGGAGCAAACGGGAUUAGGUACCCCGGUAGUCCUAGCCGUAAACGAUGGGCACUAAGUAGAGGGGUUUU
This 477-nucleotide ribosomal RNA is filed under the name uncultured bacterium. RNAcentral describes it as "bacterial SSU rRNA". It matches the Rfam family "Bacterial small subunit ribosomal RNA", at positions 365 to 832 of the family's 1533-position model. The record is from RNAcentral.